Molecule: ribosomal RNA, 1518 nt
Filed under: uncultured soil bacterium
Lineage: Bacteria
Description: bacterial SSU rRNA
Rfam family: Bacterial small subunit ribosomal RNA
Source: RNAcentral
AGAGUUUGAUCAUGGCCCAGAAUGAGCGCUGGAAUCGUGCCUUACACAUGCGAGUUGAACGCUCGAAAGAGAGUAGCAAACGAGUGAGUAAUACGGUAGAACUUGCCCAAAAGUCCGGGAUAAAAUACUGGAUACCUUCUUUGUAAAAAGGAGAAAAGAUUGAUCGCUUUUGGAUAGGCUGCCGGAGGUUUAGGUAGUUGGUUAGGUAAAAGCUGACCAAGCCAAUAAUCCUUAGCUGGUUUGGGAGAACGAACAGCCACGUCGGGACUGAGACAAGGCCCGAGCUCCUUCGGGGGGCAGCAGCGGGGAAUCUUGGGCAAUGAGCGAAAGCUUGACCUAGCGACGAUUCGUAAGGGAGGUAAAUGAAAGUCAACCUCACGACUGUAAAACUUUUUCGGCAGGGGGAGAUGAUGACAGAACCUGAGGCAAGAAGCACUGGCUAAGUUUUGUGCCAGCAGCCGCGGCAAUACAAAAGGUGCGAGCGCUAUUCGGAUUUAUUGGGCGUUAAGGGUAUGUAGGUGGCCAUAAACACUAAUUGAAAAAAGCUAGGGAGGAUACCUUAGACAACCGAUUAGGAUAAAUGGCUUGAGGAAAAGGGAGGUCGGGAGAAUUUCCAGAGUAGAAGUCAAAUUCUGAUAUACUGGAAGGACUAUCAGUGGCGAAGGCGCCUUUCCAUCUUUUCCUGACGCUGAGGUACGAAGGCACGGGGAGCAAACAGGAUUUGAUACCCUGGUAGUCCGUGCAGUCAACGAUGCAUAUUAAAGAUUUGAGCUUUUCAGGUCUUACAGCUUACGCGUUAAAUGUGCCGCCUGGGGAGUACGAUCGCAAGGUUGAAACUCAAGGGAAUUGACGGAAACUUUUACAAGCCGUGGAGCGUGUGGUUUAAUUUGAUGAUCCGCGAAAAACCUUACCAGUUUGAGUUACUACGCCUUAUUCGCCGCUUCUAACGAAACAGGGCUUGCGUCUGUUUUCGUUUAUAAGAGGGGUUGAAUUAAAGCCGCUAGUAACACAGGUGUUGCAUGGCUGUCAUAAGCCCGUGUCGUGAGACGUAAGGUUAACUUCUAUCCACGGGCGAAACCCUUCUUUUUUGUUCUGUUAAACAGAAAACAAAUCGACCACACCGGGGGCGACGACGUAACAUGUUUACGUUAUGCUUUGGGUAAUGCAGGGGGGGAGCAUGACAAGUCAUCAUGGCCCGCAUAAACUGGGCUACACAUUCGCUACAAUGGAAGGGACUAUGAGAUGCCAGAACUAAAAUUUCGAGCUAAACUCCAAACCUUUCCCUCGUACAGAUUAUCUUCUGCAAUUCGAAGAGAUGAAGGAGGAAUGGCCAGUAAUCGCAUAUCAGCAAUGGUGCGGUGAAUUCGUACUGAAGUUUUGUACAAACCGCCCGUCACGGUCCGAAAGAAGGUCCACUCGAAGUUGGUGUCUGUGUUUGGCUAGCCGCUUUUUUGAGAGCUAUCAAAUCAGAGCCAACGUCUGUAGGGUCACUGAUUGGAACGAAGUCGUAACAAGGUA